Molecule: long non-coding RNA, 1029 nt
Organism: Hevea brasiliensis (rubber tree)
Lineage: Eukaryota; Viridiplantae; Streptophyta; Magnoliopsida; Malpighiales; Euphorbiaceae
Exons: 2
Source: RefSeq, a predicted model, not a curated record
GCCUGAGUGCCUAAGAUAAAAUUACUUCAUAAACUUUGUCUUUAAUGUCUCUGUGAUAUUACCUAGUAAUGAGAUGAUUCACUGUCUAAAGGAAAACAUAUUAUUAACUUUCGCUCCCGAUUCAAAUUAAGAACAAGUCCGUGAGAACCUCUGCAUCAAUAUGUUUUUGCAAGUCUGAUCACAUUAGUAAAAUAUCCCUUUUACUAGGAGGAUAUGUGAAAUAGGGGCAAAGGUUCAAUUCGAAGCAGUUUAGUUCUCUUGGUCAACGUUUGGUUUAUUUUUCUGUCUCAUUAACUGUUUUCUUAUUAUUUUUAUUUAUGCUGCAUUGUAAUCUUGAGUUUUGACAUAUUUCGGUAAUUGCAUGUGUUUCAAUGUUGAUCAGGUACCCUAUAUAUAUAUCAUAUUCCCUCUCAAAGAAAUGAUAAGGACUUAUCAACUUGUUUCUUCACUUAUCAUACAUUAUCGUCAUCUUUCCAAGAUUGUGGGCAUACUGACUUGGUAGAUUCUAUAGAAGCAACAAGAAUUAAACCCAAAGGAGACAACAGUAGUGGAAUUUUCCUUCCUCCCUUUGGGAUGGCUAAUUACAAGAUGCAAGGUGAUCUUUGGGUAAAUCCAGACACGUCUGACCUUGAAAGAAUAAUCUAUCUUCAUAGCGCUGCAGAUUCCUGGUUGAAACAGCUUGACGUUUACCACCAUGAUUAUGACUUUUUUACGUACCACUCUCCCAUGUAAAAUGCUGUCUACUAAUUUGUUUUUCCUUUGGUUUUCUUCCAGUGGUCUGGCAACUGCCAUUAACCUGGUUCCCUCUUUAGUAGUUCAGAGCUCAUUUAGAAACUGUGCGUUGAUUUAUGUCCUGGAGUUACUGUAAAUUAUGUAGCCAUGAAACUGAAAGUAUGUAACCCUGUCAACAGCAACUGGCUUGAUCCAGAAAGUUUUCUCAGAUUUUUUCCCCCUUUAUAGGCUUGCAUUAACCUGUAAUGUUCAAUUGGGGUUUGUUCAUCUUAAAUAUUCCUGCUCCCGUUUCAAGUA